Manis javanica (Malayan pangolin) is the source of this 731-nucleotide non-coding RNA. Lineage: Eukaryota; Metazoa; Chordata; Mammalia; Pholidota; Manidae. The record is from RefSeq and is a predicted model, not a curated record.
GGACACGGGACAGUAUCUUCCUACGAGACCCGCGUCGGAGCGGCACGGUGCGCAGAUUCUCUUCCCACACAAAGUGGGCUCGGGGAAGCCGGGCUCGGGAAGCUCACCAGCGCUCACCAUCGGAGAGAGCCGGCAGAACCGCGCGGCGCAGGGGACGUGACGUCACACGGAAGCUGCGCUUUCAGCCCCGCCCCCAGGGGCGCGCGGUGCACGCUGGCCCUUGUAGUCCUUCGGGAGCGGAGCCCAGGGGUAGGGUGCAGUCUAGAAGCCUGAUGAAGCUUGGGACCAUGCCUUUCUGCCCACUCCAAUACCAGCUGUUGGUGAAUUGUGAGCCUUCAACUCUGAGUUACCACCACCUUGCUGAAGAUGUGCCAUAGGAAGUGUUUCUUCUGAAAUACCACCUGGUCAUCUACCACUGUUGCCAAGUGCUCCUGGAGCUUAUGCUUAAACGCCAGCCAGGGUUGAAGAUGCUCAAUGCUUCCUGAUGUAGCUCCCAGUUGGGUAAUUCUGCAGGCUUGGAUCAUUUGAGCUGCUAGAGAAAUAGGAACCUGCUUGUGGGAGUGCAGACUGCCAACUCACAAAUUGGGAUGUUUGCAGAGGUUCUGCUGAGGUUGGAAGGGAGAAGAAACCCAAACCACCUAAGGCCAGACACUCUGAUCCUCGUCCUGAGGAGCAGCGUUUAACCGCUCUGCCUGCCCCACCCCACACGGCGCUCCCCACCGUGGGCCACA